CUUGAAACUUAUAAGAGGUCCAGCCUGCCCAGUGACUAAGUUCAACGGCCGCGGUAUCCUAACCGUGCGAAGGUAGCGUAAUCACUUGUUCUUUAAAUGAGGACUAGUAUGAAUGGCACCACGAGGGUUAUACUGUCUCCUUUUUCCAAUCAAUGAAACUGAUCUCCCCGUGAAGAAGCGGGGAUAGAGCUAUAAGACGAGAAGACCCUAUGGAGCUUCAAACAAUAAUAGCACUGGCCCCCAUUUUUAUAUCAAGACACAACCAUUACUCUAGCCAGCAUGACUAUUAGUUUUAGGUUGGGGUGACCGCGGAGCAAAAAUUAACCUCCACAUUGAACGGAGCUUCUCCUGAGCUAAAAGCCACAACUUUAAGCACCAAUAAAUUGACAUUAAUUGACCCAACAUGUUGAACAACGAAC
This 419-nucleotide ribosomal RNA is filed under the name Dendropsophus reichlei group sp. ABGD cluster 68. RNAcentral's name for it is "partial large subunit ribosomal RNA". It matches the Rfam family "Bacterial large subunit ribosomal RNA", at positions 1835 to 2457 of the family's 2925-position model. Lineage: Eukaryota; Metazoa; Chordata; Amphibia; Anura; Hylidae. The record is from RNAcentral.